Molecule: transfer RNA, 63 nt
Filed under: Escherichia coli
Lineage: Bacteria; Pseudomonadati; Pseudomonadota; Gammaproteobacteria; Enterobacterales; Enterobacteriaceae
Also listed under: 2 other names
Description: tRNA-Ser
Rfam family: tRNA
About the family: Transfer RNA (tRNA) molecules are approximately 80 nucleotides in length.
Source: RNAcentral
AGCUGGGAGAGCACCUCCCUUACAAGGAGGGGGUCGGCGGUUCGAUCCCGUCAUCACCCACCA